RNAcentral lists this ribosomal RNA (253 nucleotides) under uncultured microorganism. Its description in RNAcentral is "partial small subunit ribosomal RNA". It matches the Rfam family "Bacterial small subunit ribosomal RNA", at positions 524 to 776 of the family's 1533-position model. The record is from RNAcentral.
CACGAACCGGACAAACGUUAUUCGGAAUCACUGGGCUUAAAGGGUGCGUAGGCGGCCUGACAAGUUGGGUGUGAAAUCCCUCGGCUUAACCGAGGAAUUGCGCUCAAAACUGUUGGGCUUGAGGGAGUUAGAGGUGAGCGGAACUUAGGGUGGAGCGGUGAAAUGCGUUGAUAUCCUAAGGAACACCAGUGGCGAAAGCGGCUCACUGGAGCUCUUCUGACGCUGAGGCACGAAAGCUAGGGGAGCGAACGGG